RNAcentral lists this ribosomal RNA (459 nucleotides) under uncultured bacterium. Its description in RNAcentral is "partial 16S ribosomal RNA". It matches the Rfam family "Bacterial small subunit ribosomal RNA", at positions 338 to 795 of the family's 1533-position model. The record is from RNAcentral.
CCUACGGGUGGCAGCAGUGAGGAAUCUUGGUCAAUGGGCGCGAGCCUGAACCAGCCAAGUAGCGUGAAGGAUGACUGCCCUACGGGUUGUAAACUUCUUUUAUAAAGGAAUAAAGUGAGGCACGAGUGCCUUUUUGUAUGUACUUUAUGAAUAAGGAUCGGCUAACUCCGUGCCAGCAGCCGCGGUAAUACGGGGGAUCCGAGCGUUAUCCGGAUUUAUUGGGUUAAAAGGGUGCGUAGGCGGAUCGUUAAGUCAGUGGUCAAAGUGAGGGGCUCAACCCCUUCGCGCCAGUGAAACUGGCGGUCUAGAGUGGAAGAGAAGUAUGCGGAAUGCGUGGUGUAGCAGUGAAAUGCGUAGAUAUCGCGCAGAACCCCGAUUGCGAAGGCAGCAUGCCGGCUUCCGACUGACGCUGAAGCACGAAGGCGUGGGGAUCGAACAGGAUUAGAUACCCGGGUAGUC